GCUCCUGCAGCGCAAUGGGUAGCGCGUUGGACUUCUAAUUCAAAGUUCGUUGGUUUGAAUCCUACCUGGGAUA
Non-coding RNA from Trichonephila inaurata madagascariensis, 73 nucleotides. NCBI's taxonomy places the organism in Eukaryota, Metazoa, Arthropoda, Arachnida, Araneae, Nephilidae. The record is from the annotation of a GenBank genome assembly.